RNAcentral lists this ribosomal RNA (468 nucleotides) under uncultured bacterium. RNAcentral describes it as "partial 16S ribosomal RNA". It matches the Rfam family "Bacterial small subunit ribosomal RNA", at positions 28 to 507 of the family's 1533-position model. The record is from RNAcentral.
GACGAACGCUGGCGGCGUGCUUAACACAUGCAAGUCGAACGGAAAGGCCCUGCUUUUGUGGGGUGCUCAAGUGGCGAACGGGUGAGUAAUACGUGAGUAACCUGCCCUUGACUUUGGGAUAACUUCAGGAAACUGGGGCUAAUACCGGAUAGGAGCUCCUGCUGCAUGGUGGGGGUUGGAAAGUUUCGGCGGUUGGGGAUGGACUCGCGGCUUAUCAGCUUGUUGGUGGGGUAGUGGCUUACCAAGGCUUUGACGGGUAGCCGGCCUGAGAGGGUGACCGGCCACAUUGGGACUGAGAUACGGCCCAGACUCCUACGGGAGGCAGCAGUGGGGAAUAUUGCACAAUGGGCGGAAGCCUGAUGCAGCAACGCCGCGUGCGGGAUGACGGCCUUCGGGUUGUAAACCGCUUUCGCCUGUGACGAAGCGUGAGUGACGGUAAUGGGUAAAGAAGCACCGGCUAACUACGUG